This 253-nucleotide ribosomal RNA is filed under the name uncultured bacterium. RNAcentral's name for it is "partial 16S ribosomal RNA". It matches the Rfam family "Bacterial small subunit ribosomal RNA", at positions 524 to 776 of the family's 1533-position model. The record is from RNAcentral.
UACGUAGGUGGCAAGCGUUGUCCGGAAUUAUUGGGCGUAAAGCGCGCGCAGGCGGUCCUUUAAGUCUGAUGUGAAAGCCCACGGCUCAACCGUGGAGGGUCAUUGGAAACUGGGGGACUUGAGUGCAGAAGAGGAGAGUGGAAUUCCACGUGUAGCGGUGAAAUGCGUAGAGAUGUGGAGGAACACCAGUGGCGAAGGCGACUCUCUGGUCUGUAACUGACGCUGAGGUGCGAAAGCGUGGGGAGCAAACAGG